Molecule: long non-coding RNA, 548 nt
Filed under: Aotus nancymaae (Ma's night monkey)
Lineage: Eukaryota; Metazoa; Chordata; Mammalia; Primates; Aotidae
Description: lncRNA (ENSANAG00000038909.1)
Source: RNAcentral
UGUAAGAAGUGGGCUCUGCUUCUAGGAAGCCUGUGGUCUGAGAGGGAAGAAGGACUACCAAUAAGGGAUCGUUAUCAAAGUGCAGUCAGAGAGGGUCAGGGAGCGUCUCCCUGAGAGGACAAGGGUGAGGAACAGUGGGAGUGAGCACGUUUGCAGCCGGGGAAGAACCUCCGGGAAGCUUUGAGCCACCCUGGAUUGGGUGAAAUGAAGCUGAGCAGCUGAAGACCGAAGGUCGCACCUUUUGUGUGAAUGAAGGAGAGAGGAAGUCCAGAUGAAAUCUCAUUUCACUGUGCUGUGCGCAUCGGGUCUGGUUCACGUUGAUCUACCUGAGAGGAGCUGGGAACAUGCUGUUUCUCAUCAUUUUCACCCAGCAAGAGAACUGGAGAGAGAGAGCUACACCCAAACCAAUUAUGGUCAGGCCCUCUGGGCUGUUACAUAAUAUUUCAGGAGACAGUGGAGUGAAGCGGACCUCGGCGUCCCAGAGGUAUUCUGCCAAGGCAGUGUGCUCUCCUUGCUUGGAAGUCUUGGAAGCCCCCUACCACCUCUGA